GUACGGCCUUCAACAAUGAGCAAAUCAAAAAGUAAAAUCACAAAAAUACUGAACUCGGAAAGUCCCUAAUCACAUGGCAAAAUCAAAUGACAAAACACAUCAAACGAAUGGACAACAACUAUCAUAUUCCUGACUUGGUACAGGCAUUUUCAAAUGUAGAAAAUGGUGGAUUGAACCUGGUUUUAAAGCGCUAAACUUCUCGUUUUUACAUCAGUCUC
This 218-nucleotide long non-coding RNA is filed under the name Mytilus galloprovincialis (Mediterranean mussel). Lineage: Eukaryota; Metazoa; Mollusca; Bivalvia; Mytilida; Mytilidae. The record is from RNAcentral.